This 559-nucleotide long non-coding RNA is filed under the name Setaria viridis. Its description in RNAcentral is "long non-coding RNA (SVIR_LNC001012)". Lineage: Eukaryota; Viridiplantae; Streptophyta; Magnoliopsida; Poales; Poaceae. The record is from RNAcentral.
GGAGGGGAGGAGGCAAUGACACAUGCUCUUGGAGGGAGGGGAGGAGGCAUCGCCAGCUUUUGAACAUAGGGAAGGAAGCAGUGCUGCCACCAGCACUUGGAGGGACAGGAGUAGGGGCCACCGGUUGUUGAAGAGAGGAGAGGAGACGGGUGGGGAAGUACGGGCUGAUUGGUGGUUGUAUUUGGUAGAUGUGGGACUUAGUCGGUAAUAAACCAAGGGGAGAGUGAAAGUCUAUUAUAUACGUUGGGUUUGAGGUAUAUGUGAUAAUGAGCCUUUUUGAUAGUAUUUCAGUUUUCUCUGUUAAUUUACCUAAGGGUACGAACCAAAAUAAUCAGAAUUAAUUUGGUUAUAAAUAACUUGAAAAUACGAAUGAAAACUAUGAUUAUGAUCUUAAGUAUUUUAGUUUGAUCUUCAAUCAUCGGUAAAUUAUGCCCACUCCUUGAGUGUCAUCAUCAAGAUUUACUAUGCCAAUGCAAUCAGUGAAAAUCUACCACAAACUCAUGCAUUAUUCAAUCUAUAAUAGGGUCGCAGGGACACUUUAACCCCAAAUGUCAUUUUG